CCCCUUCCGACGGCUCUCGCUGCGCAGGCUGGGACGCCUCUCCGCCCUCCGCCCCCACCGCGGAAAGUUAAGUUUGAAGAGGGGGGAAGAGAGAGAAACAUGGACAUGAAGAGGAGGAUCCACCUGGAGCUGAGGAACUGUACCCCGGCAGCUGUUCGAGAACUUGUCCUGGACAAUUGCAAAUCAAAUGAUGGGAAAAUUGAGGGCUUAACAGCUAAUUUGUGAACUUAGAGUUCCUCAGUUUAAUAAAUGUAGGCUUGAUUUCAGUUUCAAAUCUUCCCAAACUACCUAAAUUGAAAAAGCUUGAGCUCAGUGACAAUAGAAUUUGUGGAGGUCUGGAUAUGUUAGCAGAAAAACUUCCAAAUCUUACACAUCUAAACUUCAGUGGAAAUAAACUGAAAGAUAUCAGCACCCUGGAACCUUUCAAAAAGUCGGAAUGUCUCAAGAGCCUGGACCUGUUUAACUGUGAGGUCACUAACCUCAAUGACUACCGAGAGAGUGUCUUCAGGCUCCUGCCCUAGCUGACCUAUCUGGAUGGCUAUGACCGAGAGGAUCGUGAAGCCCCAGAUUCAGAUGCCGAGGUGGAUGGUGUGGAUGAAGACGAGGAUGAUGAGGAAGGAGAAGAUGAGGAUAAGGAGGAGGAUGAAGACAGCGAGGAAGAAGAGUUUGAUGAUGAAGAGUUUGAUGAUGAAGACGAAGAUGAAGAAGGGGAGGAGGAUGAAGAUGAAGUCAAUGGGGAGGAAGAAGAAUUUGGACAGGAUGGAGAAGUUGAUGAAGAUGAUGAGGAUGAAGACAAAGAUGAAGAUGAAGAAGAGGAAGAAAGCGGGAAAGGUGAAAAGAGGAAAAGAAAAACAGAUGAUGAAGGAGAAGAUGAUUAAUAAGACCCCAAUAACCUGCAAAAAAAAGAACUGUUCAGUAUUGGUUGGACUGCUGACAUGGAUUUGGUAGCUGUUUUGUUUUGUUUUUUAAAAGAAAAAAAAAAAGGUAGCUGUGAUACAAACCCCAGGACACCCACCCACCCAAAGAGCCAAAGAAUAGUUCCUGUGACAUUCCACCUUCCUCCAUUUAGUCCUUCUUGGAAAUCCACCACCAAGCUUGGGGACUUCACCCCAACAAAAUUGUAAGUGUUGUUAGGUUUUUGUGUAAGACUUGCUGUAACGUGGAUAGCUGUGAUUGGUGAGUCAACUGUCCGUGGCUACCAGUUACACCAAGAUUGUAACAGCAUUUUUACUUUCUGUACAACAAAGAAGCUUUGUAAAUAAAAUCUUAACAUU
Molecule: non-coding RNA, 1274 nt
Organism: Odocoileus virginianus texanus
Lineage: Eukaryota; Metazoa; Chordata; Mammalia; Artiodactyla; Cervidae
Source: RefSeq, a predicted model, not a curated record